GACGAACGCUGGCGGCGUGCCUAAUACAUGCAAGUCGAACGGACAGACCCUGCUCUUGUUGGUUUCUCGUUUGCCGAACGGGUGAGUAACACGCGUGUAACCUCUCCCUGACUUUCGGAUAUCUUUAGGAAACUCGGGCUCUUACCGGAUAUGAUCUCUUGCUCCAUGUUGUUGGUUGGAAAGUUUCGGCGGUUGUGGCUGUACUCGCGGGUUAUCAGCUUGUUGGUGUGGUAGUGGCUUACGAAGGCUGCGACGGGUAGCCGGCCUGGGAGGGGGACCGGCGACAUGGGGACUGAGAGACGGCGCAGACGCCUACGGGAGGCAGCAGUGGAAAAUAUGGCAGAGUGGGGGGGAGCGAGAUGCAGAAGCGCCGCGAGCGGAAUGACGGCCUACGGGUUGUAAACAGCUUUGGACUGUGACGAAGCGGGAGUGACGGUAAUGGGUAAAGAAGCACCGGCUAACUACGUG
This 468-nucleotide ribosomal RNA is filed under the name uncultured bacterium. RNAcentral's name for it is "partial 16S ribosomal RNA". It matches the Rfam family "Bacterial small subunit ribosomal RNA", at positions 28 to 507 of the family's 1533-position model. The record is from RNAcentral.